CCACUUCUGAGGAGUCCCACAACAGGACGAAACGCACAUCCAGUGC
Molecule: non-coding RNA, 46 nt
Filed under: Schistosoma mattheei
Lineage: Eukaryota; Metazoa; Platyhelminthes; Trematoda; Strigeidida; Schistosomatidae
Source: RNAcentral